GACGAACGCUGGCGGCGUGCUUAACACAUGCAAGUCGAACGGAAAGGCCCCUUUCGGGGGGUACUCGAGUGGCGAACGGGUGAGUAACACGUGAGUAACCUGCCCUUGACUUUGGGAUAACUUCAGGAAACUGGGGCUAAUACCGGAUAGGAGCUCCUGCUGCAUGGUGGGGGUUGGAAAGUUUCGGCGGUUGGGGAUGGACUCGCGGCUUAUCAGCUUGUUGGUGGGGUAGUGGCUUACCAAGGCUUUGACGGGUAGCCGGACUGAGAGGGUGACCGGCCACAUUGGGACUGAGAUACGGCCCAGACUCCUACGGGAGGCAGCAGUGGGGAAUAUUGCACAAUGGGUGGAAGCCUGAUGCAGCAACGCCGUGUGCGGGAUGACGGCCUUCGGGUUGUAAACCGCUUUCGCUCAUGACGAAGCUUUGUGUGACGGUAGUGGGUAAAGAAGCACCGGCUAACUACGUG
Molecule: ribosomal RNA, 467 nt
Filed under: uncultured bacterium
Lineage: Bacteria
Description: partial 16S ribosomal RNA
Rfam family: Bacterial small subunit ribosomal RNA
Source: RNAcentral